Molecule: ribosomal RNA, 519 nt
Filed under: uncultured archaeon
Lineage: Archaea
Description: bacterial SSU rRNA
Rfam family: Archaeal small subunit ribosomal RNA
Source: RNAcentral
GUAACACAUGAUCAACUUACCCUAUUGAGAAAGAUAACCUCGGGAAACUGAGGAUAAUAUUUCAUAGUUGAAUUGGCUUGGAAAAGUUUUUCAACAAAAGGGAUAGGGAAAAUGGUCUCUAUCCGCUAUAGGAUAGGAUCGUGUUCGAUUAUGGUAGUUGGUGAGGUAAAGGCUCACCAAGCCGAUAAUCGAUAGGGGCCGUGAGAGCGGGAGCCCCGAGAUGGGUACUGAGACAACGACCCAGGCCUUACGAGGCGCAGCAGGUACGAAACCUCCACAAUACACGAAAGUGUGAUGGGGUUACCCAAAGUGUUCAUUAUUGAACUGUGGUAGGAGAGUAAUGUCCCCUACUAGAAAGGAGAGGGCAAGGCUGGUGCCAGCCGCCGCGGUAAAACCAGCUCUUCAAGUGGUCGGGAUAAUUAUUGGGCUUAAAGUGUCCGUAGCCGGUUUAGUAAGUUCCUGGUAAAGUCGGGUAGCUUAACUAUCUGUAUGCUAGGAAUACUACUAUACUAGAGGGCG